UUCUUAAUGCUUGUUGUACCGUGGUGGGUUCUACCGCCAUCCUUCCACGGUCUCUGUCUCUGUCGCUCCGACACAACGGGACCCACAGCUAAUUACCCUCUCUUCUCGCAAUUUGAACAACACCGACCAGAGCUUCAUAUGGCAGAAAUCUUGUGAGUUCGGAAAACUAAUACUGAUUUCGUUCGCAAUGGCCUCUAAUGUUCAAAGAAAUGGCGCUCAAAGGGGGCCUAAGCUCGAUCGGUUUGCGGGUGCGAAGAUGUCGUUCAGACCAAGGGUUCCUCCUUCAUCGCAGUCUCCGGGAUCCGCUCUCCGCCGGAGUAGCCCGGCCUCUUUGGCAGCUAGAAACGGUGACGGAGUACCUGGAAGAGUUCGAGUGGCUGUAAGAUUGAGACCUCGAAAUGCUGAAGAAAUGAUGGCGGAUGCUGAUUUUGCUGACUGCGUUGAAUUGCAACCUGAGUUUAAAAGGUUGAAACUUCGGAAGAACAAUUGGGAUUCAGACACAUAUGAGUUUGAUGAAGUAUUUACUGAAUUUGCAUCACAGAAGCGUGUCUAUGAAGUUGUUGCUAAGCCAGUAGUGGAGAGUGUUCUUGAUGGAUAUAAUGGGACGGUAAUGGCUUAUGGCCAAACAGGCACGGGGAAAACUUUUACCGUUGGACAAUUGGGGGAAGAUGACAUUUCCAAUCGUGGCAUCAUGGUUCGUUCCAUGGAGGAUAUUUUAGCAGAUCUAUCUCCAGAAACUGAUACUGUCACUGUCUCGUACUUGCAGCUUUACAUGGAGACUAUCCAGGACUUGCUUAACCCUGCGAAUGAUAACAUUCCUAUUAUGGAAGAUCCAAGAACUGGUGAUGUAUCUCUGCCUGGGGCUACGAUUGUAGAAAUUAGAGACCAACAGAGUUUUUUGGAGCUGCUGAGAGUGGGGGAAGCUCACCGUUUUGCUGCCAACACAAAGUUGAAUACUGAAUCUUCUCGUAGUCAUGCUAUAUUGAUGGUACAUGUUAAGAGGUCUGUCUUAGAAAGUGAAGAUAUUUCUUCUAAUGAAAAUAAUGACUCAUCUCAUUUGACCAAACCUUCUAAACCACUUGUUCGAAAGAGCAAGCUAGUUGUGGUAGAUUUGGCAGGCUCAGAGCGUAUCCAAAAGUCAGGGAGUGAAGGACAAAUGCUAGAGGAAGCUAAAUCUAUAAAUCUUUCACUUAGUGCAUUGGGAAAAUGUAUUAAUGCUCUGGCAGAGAACAGUGCUCAUGUUCCAAUUCGUGAUUCCAAGCUUACCAGGUUGCUCAGAGAUUCUUUUGGAGGUACUGCUAGGACUUCUUUGAUUGUAACUAUUGGACCAUCUCCACGUCAUCGAGGAGAGACUGCAAGUACCAUACUGUUUGGCCAGAGGGCAAUGAAAGUUGAGAAUAUGUUGAAAAUAAAGGAGGAAUUUGAUUAUAAAAGUUUGGCCCGGAGGUUUGAAGUACAAGUCGAUAAGUUGAUUGCGGAAAAUGAAAGGCAGCAAAAAGCUUUUGAGGCUGAAGUUGAAAAAAUAAAUUUGGAGGCCCAAAGUCAUAUAGCUGAAGUUGAGAGGAAUUUUGCAGAUGCAUUGGAGAAAGAGAGGAUGAAAUGCCAGUUGGAGUACAUGGAUUCAGUCAAGCAGUUGGAGCAUAAGUUGGUGUUGAGUCAAGAAAGAUAUGACUGCAAUGGCUUUGUGGAUGCUCAUGGAGAGGGGCCCGGGCCAUCAUCCACAGAUGAAGUUGCUGAGGUCAAAAGGUUGCUUGAUAAUGAAACUAAUCGUAGAAAGGCAGCUGAAGAAGAGGUAGAACACCUAAGAAGUCAGCUGGGGAAACAUUCACAGACACAGGCUGGAGGCAAUCUGGAGAUUCUAAAUCUUCGCCAAAUGCUGGAAGAGGAGGCUCAUCAGAAAAGGAAACUUGAAGAAGAGUUAAUAAUACUGCAAAGCCAAUUAUUACAAGUGAAUUAUGAAGCUGAUCAGAUGAGAAGGUGUUUGGAAAAUGGGGGCUCCGAAAAUGCAUUUUCUGCCAUGGAUUCCGCCAUGUCUCAAGCUAGGAAUUCUCAACUCAGAGACAAUGGGAAUGGUCAGAAGGCAUCUGUUGCUACCCUUUUUGAACAAGUUGGAUUGCACAAGAUAUUGACAUUACUAGAGUCAGACGAUGCCAAUGUACGGAUUCAUGCAGUGAAAGUGGUUGCCAACCUAGCUGCUGAAGAAGCAAAUCAAAAAAGAAUUGUAGAUGCAGGUGGUCUUACAUCCUUGCUUAUGCUUCUUAGAAGAUAUGAGGAUGAAACUGUUCGCAGGGUAGCUGCAGGGGCCAUAGCCAAUCUUGCGAUGAAUGAAGCCAAUCAAGAACUUAUUAUGGCUGAAGGUGGAAUUACUCUCUUAUCAAUGACUUCAUCUGAUGCUGAAGAUCCACAAACUCUCCGAAUGGUAGCUGGAGCUAUUGCUAAUCUAUGUGGAAAUGCCUAUCUUGGAUCUUAUCAUUUGGUAUCAAAGCUGUUUGAUCCUUAAUGGGUUCCUACCACCUAUACAUUGCUUCUCCACCUUCAUCCUCACCACUCAUCUAGACAUGCAAUUCCCUAUCUAAUCGUUUUUCCUUGCCUUAUGAUACACAUUUAUUCCUUUACAUCAUAGCUUACCUAGACGUCUUCAAUUCUACAAUUAGGGAACCAGCAAUUGUGCCACCUAGCAAAAGAAUUAAAGGCAGUCAAAUUCAUUUAGAAAUUAAGGGGGAUAUGAAAAUUCAGAAACACGGAACUUCUCAACCUAGAAAUGUGUACAAGCGCUGGAGUUUCGCAUUAAAUAGUGAGUUUAAGGUUCAAAACUCGUGUCCUGAAGGAGUGCAACAACCUAGUCAAAAUAAAACACUAUUGACCAGAAAUACAUUCAUUUGUGAGGCUAAGGAGAUGCAACCUUCUCUCCAUCUCUUGGAGACUCCAACAAACUCUAAGCCUUUUUCAAGCCUAAACAUUGUUGCUAGUCCAGAUUUUAUUCAACCUCUCCCUAUUCCUGAGGAUAUGUGGUCUGACUGAAUUGUCUAUAAAUUGUCAGUGGCCUACAUAAAUCCUAUGGUAAGUCCGCAAUUCCAGUGGUGGUUGAUCACUUAAUCACAGGAGCUCAUUUUUGUACCUUAAGCAUCCUUUUACAGCUGAAGGGGAUCAGAUUUUUUUGGAUAACACCAUGAUGCUCCAUGGUUUCCCUAAGACAGUAGUCACUGAUCAUGACCCUACUUUUUGUGGUUAAUUCUGGCAUGAAUUGUUUCGGUUAAAUGGUGUUAAUUUGCACUACUGAUAAGUGAACCACCCACCAGACUGACUAUUAGGCUGAGGUCUCAAACCGGUGCUUGGAGAGUUUUUCCCCCCCUUCCUUUUUUCACUGGUGGGGAUUUUCCUAAACAAUGUGCCAAGCAGCUGCCACUAGCUGAACUUAGGUGUAAUGCCACUUAUCCUUCUGCCGUAGGAAUGACUCCUUUCAAAGAAGCCACUUAUGGAAUUCCAUCACCAACUCAUCUUCCUUAUUUAGUUGGAGGCUUCCCUAAGGGUUUGGUUGAUCGUUCAGGCCUAGCUAGAGAAUUGACCAUUCAGCCUCUUAAGCAUCAUUUGCUGAGAUCACAACAUCAAAUGGUUCCGCUGGCUAACAAAGAAGUAAAGAUGAGUUUCAAGCUGGAAAUGUUUUUUAUUUGAAGCUGCUUCCUUUUCACAGAAAUCUUAAUAAUUCUGCACUCCAUAAGCUUGCUGCUCGCUAUUAUGGAUUGGAAAAGUUGCUCAUGAGUUCGAGCCUGAGCCAUCAGAGAAUUCUCACGUGCAUCCUGUUUUCCUGUCCUAAAUAAAUCUCUUGGGAAUGCUGUUGUUAGUAGCUGGCAUCCUCUGAUUGAUGAGGAAGACCUGAAGAUGCCACUUGGGAGGACCUCUCUGUCAUCCAACAGCAAAGCCCCACCGUUCCUGCCGCUGCCACCACCCCUUCAUAUUCUUCCAUCCUUGUGGACAUUGAUGCUCUUUAGGGGGGUGUAUUGAUAUGCGUUGGGUUUGGAAUUAUAGAUUACUAUGCUAAUAAAAGGACAAGCAAUAUGAUAAAAUAAUAAAAGAAAGAAAUACUUGGCUGUCAUAUAGUUAUGGUUGGGAAUGGAAAUAUAGACACUGUACCUCACCCCUUGACACGUGUUUGUGGAUAAGGAUUUUGUUUCUCCUCCUUUUUCUCUCUCUUGUAACAGUCAUCAAUGUUAAUUCACCUUGAACUUCCUUUUUAAA
Prosopis cineraria is the source of this 4236-nucleotide RNA transcript. It is a transcript of the gene named kinesin-like protein KIN-UB, with no coding region annotated. The transcript is spliced from 18 exons. Lineage: Eukaryota; Viridiplantae; Streptophyta; Magnoliopsida; Fabales; Fabaceae. The record is from RefSeq and is a predicted model, not a curated record.